Musa acuminata AAA Group (dessert banana) is the source of this 1005-nucleotide long non-coding RNA. RefSeq lists it as uncharacterized. The transcript is spliced from 3 exons. The record is from RefSeq and is a predicted model, not a curated record. Lineage: Eukaryota; Viridiplantae; Streptophyta; Magnoliopsida; Zingiberales; Musaceae.
UCCAGAUAUUAUCUGAUCUCUCGAUGUGUUGCUGACUUUACAAAAGAUCAAGAUCGACGGUAGUAUGACCCGAUCCGAUGCCUCAGCUAAUACCCCACCCGUCCCCAAUCGCAAUGCUCGCCUCCCCCGUUUCGCAUUCCGAUGGAAGCUGAAGGGAAGAGAGAAAAGACGAGAGCGCGGUCGCCCGAACGAUCCGCCGAGUUGCAGACUUCGUCGGGAAGCCUAUCUUUCUCGUAUUCUCCAUACGGAAAGAAAGGCUGAACCGAAGCCGCUCUGCCUGCAGAUUCCAUACGGAUUCGGCCGAUGCCGGCCGCAAUUCCAAAACGCCGGUGUCUUGGAUCGUCCAAUAACAUUGCGCCGACAGUCGAUGGCAGGCGAAGGGGCGGGGAUCGGUGGGGGUUUCGGUCCGAUCCCCGCUUUCGAUGAUGCCCAAUGUCACACACAAUGCUGUUUCCAAUUCUUCCGAUGCCUCGCCCGAUUACAGUGAAGACCACUCAGUACAGCGGGGAAUUUCCACAGAGAGAUGAUCAACCUGAUUGCCAGUUCUUCCUGAAAGCACGAACAUGCAAAGUGGAGCAACAUGUAAAUAUCAUCAUCCGUUAGACAAACAAGAUGCAUGAGUGGUUUGGUUGGAUGCUUUUGGUCUACCUAUACAAAUAAUUUCUGUCACUUGUUCCCACUCUCAUAUGGUUCAUUUGUUUGUUUCCAGGAUGAGAAAUCAUGUGCCUACUACAUGAGAACUGGAUCUUGUAAAUAUAGAGUUGCCUGCAAGUUCAAUCAUCUCCGGCAUGCCACAGAACUGACUUCCCUGUUGCAGGAUCCUCAGCCAAUUUAUAUUCUGGUCUUAGGACACCAGCAUCAGGGCUAUCAGUAAUUGAAGUUUCACCAUGGUGUUCACCAAUAAUUCUUUACAUGUUCAGUGAACAUAUGCAAGAUCUCCCAGCUUGCUUAUCUUUGGUUCUUCCAACCACCCAAGGAUAGAUGCCCGUGCAGCAGGGUGGGACA